This 1034-nucleotide ribosomal RNA is filed under the name uncultured euryarchaeote. Its description in RNAcentral is "bacterial SSU rRNA". It matches the Rfam family "Archaeal small subunit ribosomal RNA", at positions 377 to 1332 of the family's 1478-position model. Lineage: Archaea; Methanobacteriati; Methanobacteriota. The record is from RNAcentral.
GACUCUGAGUGGCAGCCGGCUUUUGCCGACUGUCUUUUGCCAACCUUAGAACGGUUGGAGAAUAAGUUCUGGGUAAGACCAGUGCCAGCCGCCAUGUGCUUACGCAUAUAGCGCACGGUACGCGGUAAUACUGGCAGAACGAGUGGUGCCCACGAAUAUUGGGUCUAAAGAGACCGUAGCUGGCCUGUUAAGUCCACUGUGAAAUCUUGGGGCUCAACCUCAAGGCGUGCAGUGGAUACUGGCAGGCUCGAGAGCGGGGGAGGUCAGGGGUACUUACGGGGUAUGGGUAAAAUCAGUUGAUCCUGUAAGGACCACCAGUGGCGAAGGCGCCUGACCAAAACGCGUCUGACAGUGAGGGUCGAAGGCUAGGAGAACGAAUCGGAUUAGAUACCCGAGUAGCCCUAGCAGUAAAUCAUGCAGACUGUGGUGUUGCUCUGGCUUCGGGCCAUGGCAGUGCUGUAGCGUAGGUGUUAAGUCUGCCACCUGGGGAGUACGGCCGCAAGGUUGAAACUUAAAGGAAUUGGCGGGGGAGCACCACAAGGCGUGGAUGCUGCGGUUCAAUUGGAUACAACGCCAGGAACAUUACCGUGGGCGACGGCAGGAUGAAGGCCAGACUAAAGAUCUUGCCUAACGAGCCGAGAGGUGCUGCAUGGCCAUCGUCAGCUCGUGGUGCGAUAUCGCGGAUGCGAAAGCAUCUGUGUGAUCGUAUCUGCGAUGCACAAACUGUCUCGUUAAGUCGAGUAACGAGCGAGACCCUCGUUCAUAGUUGCUAAUUUCCCCUCCGGGGGAGAUGCACCCUAUGAGGACUGCCCGCGUUAAGCGGGAGGAAGGUGGGGGCGACGGUAGGUCAGUAUGGCCUGAAUCCCACGGGCUACACGUGGCAUACAAUGGUCGAGACAAUAGGCUGCGACGCCGAAAGGCGAAGCGAAUCCGACAAACUCGACCCAAGUUCGGAUUGGGGGCUGAAACUCGCCCCCAUGAAGCUGGAAUGCCUAGUAAUCGCUUGUCAUCAUCGAGCGGUGAAUGCGUCCCCG